GGACCAAUGGAGGGUCUCGCUGGACACACCGGACUUCACCGACAUCGUGCUGCAGCUGGACGACAUCCAGCAUGCCAUCGCCAUCAACUAUGACCCAAUGGAGGGCCACGUCUACUGGACGGAUGACGAGGUGUGGGCCAUCCGCAGGGCAUACCUGGAUGGGUCUGGGGCGCAGACGCUGAUCAACACCAAGAUCAACGACCCCGAUGACAUCGCAGUCAACUGGGUGGCCCGAAGCCUCUAUUGGACCCACACAGGCACUGAACACAUCGAGGUGACGUGCCUCAACAGCACCUCCCACAAGAUCCUGGUGUCAGAGGACAUGGACGAGCCCCGUGCCAUUGCACUGCAUCCCGAGAUGGGCCUCACGUACUGGAUAGACUGGGGAGAGAACCCUGAAAUCAAGCGUGCCAACCUGGACAGGCAGGAGCUGCGCGUGCUGGUCAAUGCUUCCCUCGGGUGGCCCAACGGCCUGGCCCUGGACCUGCAGGAAGGGAAGCUCUACUGGGGAGAUGCCAAGACAGACAAGAUCGAGGCGAUCAGUGUCGAUGAGACGAAGAGGCAGACCCUCCUGAAGGACAAGCUCCCACACAUUUUCAGGUUCACCCUGCUGGGGGACUUCAUCUACUGGACCGCCUGGCAGCACCACAGCAUCAAGCGGGUACACAAGGUCAAGGCCAACCGGGACGUCAUCAUUGACCAGCUGCCCGACCUGAUGGGGCUCAAAGCUGUGAACGUGGACAAGGUCGUCGGAACCAACCCUCAUGCGGACAGGAAUGGGGGUGCAGCCACCUGUGCUUCUUCACGCCCCACACAACCCGGUUUGGCUGCCCCAUCUAGGGCCUGGAACUGCUGAGUGACAUGAAGACCUGCAUCAUGCCCAAGGCCUUCUUGGUCUUCACCAGUAGAGCCGCCAUCCACAGGAUCUCCCUCGAGACCAACAACAACGAUGUGGCCAUCCUGCUCUCGGCGUCAAGGAGGCCUCGGCCCUGGACUUUGAUGUGUCCAGCAACCACAUCUACUGGACAGACAUCAGCCUGAAGGUAGCGUGGGCCCGAACAUGCACACGUGCAGCCUAUAUGGGAAAACCUUCCCUCUGUACCUGCCUCAAAGGUUUCAGACAUUUUUCUUAAAGCACUAUAAUAUUUAUUGUAACACAAUUCAAGCUAAUUAAAUAUGAGCAAGCCUAUUUC
This 1193-nucleotide long non-coding RNA is filed under the name Homo sapiens (human). Its description in RNAcentral is "novel transcript". Lineage: Eukaryota; Metazoa; Chordata; Mammalia; Primates; Hominidae. The record is from RNAcentral.